GAAACAAAAAGGGAAGCUGUGGUCCCCAUUGCCAGGCUUAGAGAGACAGGCAUCCGGGUGCCCUGCCAGUCACCCUGGAAUACACCUCUCAUGUCUGUCAAGAAACCUGGGACCUCUGGUUCUCACGAGUCUGAUUCUUCCAGAGAAACAGGUGUGCACUGUCUUGGACCUGAAGGAUGCCUUCUUCAGCCUCCCGUGGGCACAGACUCACAGCACCCCACACUGUUGAGGCUCUCCUCUGAGGAACACAAGAAUGCUGGAAUGCCUAUGGGAACCAGUACCAGGUCCUACUCCUGGGCCACUUUCGACUCAAGUUGGAGAAGCUGACUGCCUUCAAUUCUGAUACCGUCUUUCCUGAUAUCAACUCACCUAUGACUGUCAUAAGAUGAAAGACGAAACCAGCGGCUGGGAUCUUCCAAAUGAGCCUGUGACCUGGUGGCUUCUGAAAUCAUCUAAUGGCCAGGACAGACAAACCUCCCAUGACGGGAAAGCACAGGGAUGAACAUAACUUUGCCCUCAGUUGGCCACAUGGGUAAUCGUCAGGAGCAGCAGGUUCAUUUGCUGAGUGAGCACAGCAGCUUUGGAUUAAACCAGAAUGAGCUGACCCAGAAUUGAUCCAGAAAAGCUGGAAAUCACCUGGAGACUUGCUGCUGAUUAUUGUGGAAACUGCCUACAAAGUUCAGCCAGGGAAAGGACCUGGCCUCAUGGGUCCCAGAAGCUCUGUCUAAUGUUUGGCUGUGGGUCUCUGCAUCUGCUCCCAUCAGCUGCUGGAGAAAACCUCUCUGAUGACGAUUGGGCUAGACUGGUCCUGUGAGUAUAGCAGACUAGCAUUAGAAAUCAGCUCAUUGACUUUUUUUCUCGGUCCUGUUUGGUUCUGCCCUAGGUUUGUGAGCCCAGCAGCUUCCAGUUCCUGACCUCCAGACAGCGUUGGGCACGGGCUCCCUCUUGUGACUUGGGCCCCAAGUUAGACUAGUCAUUGGUUGGCCACACCCCCAAACUCUGAGCCACCAUAGCCCCAGUGCUUUUUGUCAGCAGGGUCAAAGGUUUUGUGGCUGGUUUGGUGUCCCAGUCCCACCACUGGGAGCCUGACUGCAGAUGAUGGCCAGCUCAGCCUGCAUAUCCUCCAUUGCUAGGAGUCCUCGCUAGAGUCGACCUGAUAGAUUUUAGGAUGUUUCCACUGCCCUAGGUUUCCCCUCUGCCCUUAAAUGCCCACCUAAUCCAGUCAUCUCUCUCUGCACACUCUCUCUCCACCCCCCAUCUGUUCCUCCCUGUCCCUAUCCCCACCUGCCCCCCAAUCUACCCACAAAUCCAUUCUAUGUCCCCUUCUCAGGGAGAUGCAUGCACUGCAUGCAAUAAUUGUAGUGGAUUAUCCUUUACUUAACAAAUAAUAUCCACUUAUAAGUUAUAAUAUCAUAACUGAGUACGUUAUGCCCAAAUCACAGAGUCCCCCCAAAACCAACUAGGAGACCGAGUACUGUACGUAAAAGCAAAGAGCCUUUGUUGUUACACAAGUUUGCAAACUCAGACUCUCCGUGUGUCCAAUGUAUUGGAGUGAUCAGAGAGCCCUGAGCUCAGCUGGGGUUGGGUUUUAUCAUAGCAGAGGUUGGGUGUGAGGGAUUGCUAAGGUUCAGGACCCCUGAUUAGCUGACAUUUGUUUAGGGGUGUCCUGGUGAAAAACAAUGGGUGUGUGCUGGCUGGUGGUCCUAUCUACAAAGGUUGAAACGUUAGGAAUUUCCUCUGGAUGGUCUGUUCCUGGGUGGUGCCUGGGUAGUCUCAGUUUGUGGUCUUUCUUGUAACCAGGCAUCAUCUCAGGGUAAACUUCUGAGACUCAGGCCCCUAUUGAGCUUGUCAUGGCUGGGUCCUACCUACAGAGUGCAUACCAUAUUUGUCUUUCUGUGUCUGGGUUGUCUUGCUUAGGAUUUUUUUUCUAGUUCCAUUCAUUUGCCAGUAAAUUUUAUGUCAUGUUUUCUAACAUCUGAGUUAUUCUCCACUAUGUAAAUAUACCACAUUUUCUUUAUCCAUUCUUGGGUUAUAGACAUCUAUGUUGUUUCCAGUUUCUGGCUAUUAUAAUAAAGCUAGUAUAAACACAGCUGAGCAAUUCUAAUAUUUUUCAAAAUCCAAACUUCUCUGGUAAAACUGAUAGCCAAAAGGGUCUGGAGAGAUGGCUCAGAGACGAACAAGGCUGUCAUUUACCAUUGCCAUUCUUGUCAAUGACCAGGGUUCAAUUUCCAGCACCCACACGACAGCUUAUAACCAUCCUUAGCUCCAAUUCCAGAGGAUCCAGCACCCUCUUCUUGCCUCCUCAGACCAGGCAUGCAUGCAGGGCAGUCACAGACAGGCAGGCUAAACACCAACACACAUAAAAUAUGAAUAAUAAAUUGAUCUUUAAAAUAUUAAAGGAAAGAAGCACUUGCAAUGUUUUGACUUAGGAAAAUUAUAGGAGGAGAAAGCAAAGUCCUGCCCAGCGCUGUGACAGACUGAGCAGGACAGGGAGGCUCAUACGCAUGCCUGGGGCUGUCUGCUCUGGGCCCUAAGAAAAAACACAGGUUUGCCUGGUGUCUUACGCCGCUGGGCAGUGGGGCAUCAUUAUGGUGAGCAAAUGCUAUGGGACAGAUAUAGAUAGAUAGAUAGAUAGAUAGAUAGAUAGAUAGAUAGAUAGAUAGAUAGAUAUAGACCCCAUGGACACAUGCACAUCUGAAGAGGUGACAGUGGUGAGGAGCAGGCUGAGGUUGCUGACUUCAUUGCCAUCUAGGGCCAUGGUGAUGUCUGGGCCUGGCCUGCUGCCCCAGGCCCUUGUCUGGGCUCAUGGCCCUGUUGCAGCCAUAGUCUCUGUUGAUGUCCAUGGCUCAUGAUAUGACUGAGGGCCCAAAGUAUAGGGAUGUAUAGAGUUGGCCUUAUCUUCACUGACAGCAACACUAGGGAGAACUGGUCUUGCCCCUCAUUGGGUGAAACACUCAGGAGGGAGGGUCCUACACCUCAACUGGGCAACACAAUAGAGCUGGCCCUGUCUUGGGGGACAUAGGUGAGUGCCCUUUCCCCUGCUCCACCCCAUGCCACCUGUGGCAGGUGGGAGAGCUGGCCUGAAGGUCAUCAGAGUGGGAGAGUUGUUCCUGCCCCUCACCACUGCAGCACUCCAGAGAGUGGCCUCUGCACCUUACCUGCGCAACAGAGUAGAGCUGGCCCUGGUGGUGUAGGUGUGGGAGAGAUGAUCUGAGGGCCCGAGAGCAGGAGAACGGGCCCUGUCCCUUGCUCCUUGCUGCACAUGGUGCACUAGCUGGGGCAGCACUGGAGAGCUCGCCCUGGCUGUGAGGACUGGGGAGAGCUGGCUGGCUGACCAGCCCUGCACUACCCAGACCCAGAACUGUGUGGUUCUGAGUUCACCCACUACAGCAUCCACCCCAUCUGUGAUCUGCUGGAGCACUUGAGAGGGCCGGUCGUGCAGACCCAAAGCUGCAGGAUCUUCAUGACACAGGGCAGCAACAGGAUGUCCAAGAGGAGUCCAGUGAGGGCAGAGCAUCAGUAGUGUAGCAGAAACCAGAGGCCUUGAACCAGACCAAAGGAUCUUUGCAAUGACCACUUGUAGUAAAGAUACGUGGACAAAAGGGUUUACUGCAUGAAUCACUGGGUCUCAGUGCAGCUUCCAUGAUGAGAUUUUUCUUUUCCUCUUUUUCUUUUUUUUCUCCCCCUUAAAUUUUAUUUUAGUUCAUUUUGGGGGGAGGAUGCAAGGGCAGAGGGUGGAUAUGAAGAGGUGGGGAGAUGAUUGGAAUUGAGAUAAAUGAGUGAAAAAUAAAUAAAAGGUUAAAUAAAGUAGAAAAAGAUUGUGAGGUUUGGGCAGUCUGUGGGACUGCUGGCAGUGUGACCAGGAUUUAUCCCUAGUACUUGAUCACAUUCUUUUUGGAUGGAUACCUUGCUCAGCCUAGAUAUAGUGGGGAGGGCCUUGGUCUUGCCUCUAAGUGAAGUGUCAGACUUUGAUGACUCCCCAUGGGAAGCCUUACCCUUUUUGAGUAAUGGAUGGGGAGAGAG
Long non-coding RNA from Alexandromys fortis (reed vole), 4023 nucleotides. RefSeq lists it as uncharacterized. The record is from RefSeq and is a predicted model, not a curated record. The transcript is spliced from 5 exons. NCBI's taxonomy places the organism in Eukaryota, Metazoa, Chordata, Mammalia, Rodentia, Cricetidae.